Molecule: long non-coding RNA, 480 nt
Organism: Mauremys reevesii (Reeves's turtle)
Lineage: Eukaryota; Metazoa; Chordata; Testudines; Geoemydidae
Exons: 3
Source: RefSeq, a predicted model, not a curated record
UGCAACCUACUACUGAUAUCAUUUACGGUUUCCUCAAGUAGCGGAGGUCUUAGCAGUGGAUCUUAAACAUUCCAACCUUGCUGAUGAAUGAUGUGGGAGACCCCUGUCUCAUCCAGUGCACAGUUUGGACCUGCUUUGUGAUGGAUCAUGGUUAUAUAGUAAAGAAGGAUGUGUGCAAGCACCUUGCCUCAUUUGUUGCAGACACUGGAAGUGAAGUCUUCAAAGAGCUCCAGCAGAUUAGUGAAGCAUGACCUUCCCUGCCCGAAAACCACAGACACUACUGCGAGUUUUGAAGGAGAAACAAAUUCCCCAUGAAGCAGCUUUGUAGAAGAUUCCAUUUACUACAUUACUGUAUCAGAGCAUGUGGAAUUCCAUACAAAAUAAUUUAAAUGAGAAGGAGGCAACGGCAGAUGAACUUUGACAUCAGCAAUAGCUGUAUUUUAUUAACCUGCUGGAAGUGGUUAUUUCUUCACAUAUUUA